RNAcentral lists this ribosomal RNA (254 nucleotides) under uncultured bacterium. Its description in RNAcentral is "partial 16S ribosomal RNA". It matches the Rfam family "Bacterial small subunit ribosomal RNA", at positions 524 to 776 of the family's 1533-position model. The record is from RNAcentral.
UACAGAGACUGCAAGCGUUAUUCGGAUUCACUGGGCGUAAAGGGCGCGUAGGCGGCCACCGCAAGUCGACUGUGAAAUCUCCGGGCUUAACCCGGAAAGGUCAGCCGAUACUGCGGGGCUAGAGUGCAGAAGGGGCAACUGGAAUUCUCGGUGUAGCGGUGAAAUGCGUAGAUAUCGAGAGGAACACCUGCGGCGAAGGCGGGUUGCUGGGCUGACACUGACGCUGAGGCGCGAAAGCGUGGGGAGCAAACAGG